CAAUAUGCCCACUGCCUGUCUUAAAGGGCCAUACACACCCAAUAAAAGUGCAUAAGUUCCCACAAUCUCCCAGGGGCCAUAGUCAUGUGGAAGGAGGUUUGCAAAUAGGCUUCUCCACAACCCAGGGAAGCAGGGCAAUUUGCCAUUUAAAGGCCCAGUUACAAAUAGCAGUUUGUAACAAAUAACAUAUCAUUAAAUUAAUUAAUUGUCUAUUAUAGCAAUCAGGGAAGAAAAAAAAGUCAGAACAAUUAUUUCUGAAGAAAAUCUCUGGGGAGCCAUGGCUAUAAUUCGUCCUCCCUCCUGGACGAAUUAAGUUUAAAUGAACAAUUUAGUUGAAUUUAGAGCUUGGUAUAAAUUCUUUGCAGUUCUCAUAACAUGAUUGUGUUUCCCCAUGAUGAAGGGUAUGAAGCCCGCUUAGAGUGUGAUAUAUUAAUAACAUAUUUUACUAUCACUGUUCUUUGGGACCAAAUAAUAUUUAUCAGCGCAUAACCAAG
Molecule: non-coding RNA, 494 nt
Organism: Pelobates cultripes (western spadefoot toad)
Lineage: Eukaryota; Metazoa; Chordata; Amphibia; Anura; Pelobatidae
Source: the annotation of a GenBank genome assembly